GGAUCAAUGGAUUGGUCAUGCCGAUGGUGUGUACUGGUCAUAUUGGUUCUCACCUUCUAAGGAACCAUAAUGUCAUUUAUUUGAUGUUGUGGGGAAUUAGGACUGUUACCUUGAAAAAAUUAGAGUGUUUAAAACAGGCUUAUGCUUGAAUACAUUAGCAUGGAAUAACGGAAUAGGACU
RNAcentral lists this ribosomal RNA (180 nucleotides) under uncultured Glomeromycotina. Its description in RNAcentral is "partial small subunit ribosomal RNA". The stretch from base 47 to 180 matches the Rfam family "Eukaryotic small subunit ribosomal RNA", at positions 693 to 829 of the family's 1831-position model. Lineage: Eukaryota; Fungi; Glomeromycota. The record is from RNAcentral.